Molecule: long non-coding RNA, 376 nt
Filed under: Citrus sinensis (sweet orange)
Lineage: Eukaryota; Viridiplantae; Streptophyta; Magnoliopsida; Sapindales; Rutaceae
Description: long non-coding RNA (CSIN_LNC005518)
Source: RNAcentral
AAUAAAGAUGGGAACAAAACAAAUAAAAAUAAAGAAGAGGGAGAAAUUACGAUACUAAGCUUAUUGCGCUAUUACAACCUUUCUAUAAAAAUACACAAAAACAAAUACGUGAAAUAAAUUAACUAAAAAUAAAUUAAUAAGAUAAAAAAUUACAAAGAAAAAUAAAUUAAAAAUUAAAUUACAGAAUUUUAAAGAAGAGAAAAAUAAAAGAAAUACUAACCUUUAAAUGUAGAUUCACUCUUUUUUUUCUUUUUUUUAAUAACAAAAAAAAAUACAAGAAAACAAAUAAAAGAAAUUAUUCACAAAAAUUAAUUCUAUUAAUUAAAAUUACUUACCUCCCCGGCAACGGCGACAAAAACUUAUUGUGCAAAUUUUA